AUACGGAGGGUGCAAGCGUUAUUCGGAAUCACUGGGCGUAAAGGACGCGUAGGCGGGUUGGCAAGUCAGAUGUGAAAUCCUACAGCUUAACUGUAGAACUGCAUUUGAAACUGCUAACCUAGAGUAUGGGAGGGGGAGAUGGAAUUAGUGGUGUAGGGGUAAAAUCCGUAGAUAUCACUAGGAAUACCGAAAGCGAAGGCGAUCUCCUGGGACAUAACUGGCGCUAAGGCGUGAAAGCGUGGGGAGCAAACAGGAUUAGAAACCCUUGUAGUCC
RNAcentral lists this ribosomal RNA (274 nucleotides) under uncultured bacterium. Its description in RNAcentral is "partial 16S ribosomal RNA". It matches the Rfam family "Bacterial small subunit ribosomal RNA", at positions 523 to 796 of the family's 1533-position model. The record is from RNAcentral.